This 219-nucleotide long non-coding RNA is filed under the name Mytilus galloprovincialis (Mediterranean mussel). Lineage: Eukaryota; Metazoa; Mollusca; Bivalvia; Mytilida; Mytilidae. The record is from RNAcentral.
ACAUCGAUUUUAAAUUAGUUUCUGCAUAACACAUGCAAUGGCAGUACCUUUCCAAUUACUAUUUAUGUGUUGCGUCUAAAUUUAAGUUGGAACACUUUAUAGUGACUGAAAAGGGUAGAAAAAUUCAUCAGAUGAGAAAAUGCUGAAGACACCUGGCCCUGCAUCUAAUAAAAAGAAACAAACAGAGAUUUGGAUAGUUCCACUUCAAGGUAAAAAUAU